This 499-nucleotide ribosomal RNA is filed under the name uncultured bacterium. RNAcentral's name for it is "partial 16S ribosomal RNA". It matches the Rfam family "Bacterial small subunit ribosomal RNA", at positions 28 to 507 of the family's 1533-position model. The record is from RNAcentral.
GACGAACGCUGGCGGCGUGCCUAAUACAUGCAAGUCGAGCGAAGUUUUUCUGGUGCUUGCACCGGAAAAACUUAGCGGCGAACGGGUGAGUAACACGUAAAGAACCUGCCUCAUAGACUGGGACAACUAUUGGAAACGAUAGCUAAUACCGGAUAACAGCAUUAACUGCAUGGUUGAUGUUUAAAAGUUGGUUUUGCUAACACUAUGAGAUGGCUUUGCGGUGCAUUAGCUAGUUGGUGGGGUAAAGGCCUACCAAGGCGACGAUGCAUAGCCGACCUGAGAGGGUGAUCGGCCACACUGGGACUGAGACACGGCCCAGACUCCUACGGGAGGCAGCAGUAGGGAAUCUUCCGCAAUGGGCGAAAGCCUGACGGAGCAACGCCGCGUGAGUGAAGAAGGAUUUCGGUUCGUAAAGCUCUGCUGUUAGGGAAGAAUGAUUGUGUAGUAACUAUACACAGUAGAGACGGUACCUAACCAGAAAGCCACGGCUAACUACGUG